This 301-nucleotide ribosomal RNA is filed under the name uncultured bacterium. Its description in RNAcentral is "partial 16S ribosomal RNA". It matches the Rfam family "Bacterial small subunit ribosomal RNA", at positions 509 to 807 of the family's 1533-position model. The record is from RNAcentral.
CAGUCGCCGCGGUAAUACGGAGGGCGCAAGCGUUAAUCGGAAUUACUGGGCGUAAAGCGCACGCAGGCGGUCUGACAAGUCAGAUGUGAAGUCCCCGGGCUUAACCUGGGAACUGCAUUUGAAACUGUCAGGCUGGAGUCUUGUAGAGGGGGGUGGAAUUCCAGGUGUAGCGGUGAAAUGCGUAGAGAUCUGGAGGAAUACCGGUGGCGAAGGCGGCCCCCUGGACAAAGACUGACGCUCAGGUGCGAAAGCGUGGGGAGCAAACAGGAUUAGAUACCCCUGUAGUCCCUGUCUCUUAUAC